Molecule: long non-coding RNA, 141 nt
Organism: Scomber scombrus (Atlantic mackerel)
Lineage: Eukaryota; Metazoa; Chordata; Actinopteri; Scombriformes; Scombridae
Exons: 3
Source: RefSeq, a predicted model, not a curated record
AUUUUCAGCAUCUAAAGACUGCAGGACAGAAAAGAGUCUUAACUGGCUCCAAAGGGACCAAAGGAGGUCCAGGUUGUUGGUGCUUUGGUCCGUGGCUUUAAAGAUUCCCUCCAGAUCAGCUUUAAGAGGUGAAGGUAGAAC